GCUGGCUGGGCUGAGGAAAAGUAUUGCUAAAAGGAAGAGAAACCUUAUUUUCCUUUUCUUUUCUUUUGUGUAAUUUCCAAGCAAUUUUUAGCCUCAGCUGCCCUGCCUUUGAGGAGGAUGACUUUCCGGUACACGCCUCCGAGUUUUACCACAAAUGCCCCUACCAGCAAAGCCCAGCAGGGGGCGGAAGGUCACGCAAUUUCUGCAGCUGCAGCCACCGGAGUCUCCGUGUCCCAGAACUUGCACGUUUUACCUCAACAGACUUCAGUGCAAAGUUGAUCAUCUCAUCCUUGGUUAUGCAUAGCCCAUGGAGAGAGGCCAGGACAUCCACAGUUAAGUACUAGCAAGACAUUUAAGUCUAUGAAAUUUGAGGAUCCAGUGCAGUCUUCUGAAAUUCAGCUGAAAUUUGCAUCUUCAGACCAAAAACUGCAUGAGCAUUGAAGAGAAUUUAGUGAGUUCUCCAAGCUUAUCUGGACUUUUGCCUAAGACCCGCUAUGUAAAGGUAA
Molecule: long non-coding RNA, 506 nt
Filed under: Cavia porcellus (domestic guinea pig)
Lineage: Eukaryota; Metazoa; Chordata; Mammalia; Rodentia; Caviidae
Description: lncRNA (ENSCPOG00000040278.1)
Source: RNAcentral